RNAcentral lists this ribosomal RNA (504 nucleotides) under uncultured bacterium. RNAcentral describes it as "partial 16S ribosomal RNA". It matches the Rfam family "Bacterial small subunit ribosomal RNA", at positions 28 to 523 of the family's 1533-position model. The record is from RNAcentral.
GAUGAACGCUAGCGGCAGGCUUAAUACAUGCAAGUCGUGGGGCAGCAGGACUGUAGCAAUACAGUUGCUGGCGACCGGCAAACGGGUGCGGAACACGUACGCAAUCUACCCAGAAUUGGUGAAUAGCCCUCCGAAAGGAGGAUUAAUACACCGUAAUAUUAUAAAGUGGCAUCACUUAAUAAUUAAAGCUCCGGCGGUUUUGGAUGGGCGUGCGGCCCAUUAGGUAGUUGGUGGAGGUAAUGGCUCACCAAGCCGGCGAUGGGUAACUGGUGUGAGAGCACGACCAGUCACACGGGCACUGGGACACGGGCCCGACUCCUACGGGAGGCAGCAGUAAGGAAUAUUGGUCAAUGGACGCAAGUCUGAACCAGCCAUGCCGCGUGGAGGAUGAAGGCCCUCUGGGUUGUAAACUUCUUUUAUGGGGGACGAAAUCACUUAUUCUUAAGUGUCUGACGGUACCCCAGGAAUAAGCACCGGCUAACUCCGUGCCAGCCGCCGCGGUAA